GAGAUGUGCAGCCGCAGGAUAACUCUGAUAGUGAAAGAAAGAUUGGUCGAGGAAGGCCACUGUUGGAAGACUGUGCCCAAUGAAACUAAGGAGUUUUAUUGGCAGGAAUUCAAGAAAUACUUCAUAUGGGACCAAGCAAUUGACAGCUUGGUAAAAAUUGCAUGGCA
This is a long non-coding RNA of Manihot esculenta (cassava), 167 nucleotides long. RefSeq lists it as uncharacterized. The record is from RefSeq and is a predicted model, not a curated record. The transcript is spliced from 2 exons. Lineage: Eukaryota; Viridiplantae; Streptophyta; Magnoliopsida; Malpighiales; Euphorbiaceae.